UCGAGUUUGGUUACCUUUUAGGUACCUUCUCCCACCAAUUGUGAACCUUUUUAAUUGUUGCCUCGGUGGGUGGGUAGGUAGUUUAACCUUCUACCAUCAGUUAAGUCUGAAAACCCACCGAAGGAUUUUUCAAACUCGUUUUAACUGUGAAAUCUGAGUUAAAAAACAAAAAUUUAAACA
RNAcentral lists this unclassified non-coding RNA (180 nucleotides) under uncultured fungus. RNAcentral describes it as "sequence contains ITS1". The record is from RNAcentral. Lineage: Eukaryota; Fungi.